Molecule: ribosomal RNA, 253 nt
Filed under: uncultured bacterium
Lineage: Bacteria
Description: partial 16S ribosomal RNA
Rfam family: Bacterial small subunit ribosomal RNA
Source: RNAcentral
UACGAAGGGGGCUAGCGUUGCUCGGAAUUACUGGGCGUAAAGCGCACGUAGGCGGCUCUUUAAGUCGGGGGUGAAAUCCUGGAGCUCAACUCCAGAACUGCCUUCGAUACUGAAGAGCUCGAGUCCGGGAGAGGUGAGUGGAACUCCGAGUGUAGAGGUGAAAUUCGUAGAUAUUCGGAAGAACACCAGUGGCGAAGGCGGCUCACUGGCCCGGUACUGACGCUGAGGUGCGAAAGCGUGGGGAGCAAACAGG